UGGGGAAUAUUGGACAAUGGGCGCAAGCCUGAUCCAGCCAUGCCGCGUGAGUGAUGAAGGCCCUAGGGUUGUAAAGCUCUUUCACCGGUGAAGAUAAUGACGGUAACCGGAGAAGAAGCCCCGGCUAACUUCAUGCCAGCAGCCGCGGUAAUACGAAGGGGGCUAGCGUUGUUCGGAUUUACUGGGCGUAAAGCGCACGUAGGCGGACUUUUAAGUCAGGGGUGAAAUCCCGGGGCUCAACCCCGGAACUGCCUUUGAUACUGGAAGUCUUGAGUAUGGUAGAGGUGAGUGGAAUUCCGAGUGUAGAGGUGAAAUUCGUAGAUAUUCGGAGGAACACCAGUGGCGAAGGCGGCUCACUGGACCAUUACUGACGCUGAGGUGCGAAAGCGUGGGGAGCAAACAGG
RNAcentral lists this ribosomal RNA (404 nucleotides) under Brucella melitensis. RNAcentral's name for it is "partial 16S ribosomal RNA". It matches the Rfam family "Bacterial small subunit ribosomal RNA", at positions 355 to 776 of the family's 1533-position model. The record is from RNAcentral. Lineage: Bacteria; Pseudomonadati; Pseudomonadota; Alphaproteobacteria; Hyphomicrobiales; Brucellaceae. RNAcentral also lists the same sequence under 2 other names.